UGAGGAAUAUUGCGCAAUGGAGGAAACUCUGACGCAGCAACGCCGCGUGAGUGAAGAAGGCUUUCGGGUUGUAAAGCUCUGUCAGGUGGGAAGAAACCUUUAUAGUUGAAUAGGCUAUAAAACUGACGGUACCACCAAAGGAAGCACCGGCUAACUCCGUGCCAGCAGCCGCGGUAAGACGGAGGGUGCAAGCGUUGUUCGGAAUCACUGGGCGUAAAGCGCGUGUAGGCGGCUUGACAAGUCGAAUGUGAAAGCCCGGGGCUCAACCUCGGAAGUGCAUUCGAAACUGUCAGGCUUGAGUACGGGAGAGGGAAGUGGAAUUCCUGGUGUAGAGGUGAAAUUCGUAGAUAUCAGGAGGAACACCGGUGGCGAAGGCGGCUUCCUGGACCGAUACUGACGCUGAGACGCGAAAGCGUGGGGAGCAAACA
This 428-nucleotide ribosomal RNA is filed under the name uncultured prokaryote. RNAcentral's name for it is "bacterial SSU rRNA". It matches the Rfam family "Bacterial small subunit ribosomal RNA", at positions 355 to 774 of the family's 1533-position model. The record is from RNAcentral.